UCCCGCGCAUGCUCUAUGGGGUAGAGACGCUAGGCCGGCACUGCCUAGGUGGGCCGGGCGGUGCGAGGGUCGCCUUUCAGCCUUUACCUCUACCCACUGAAAUGGAGUAGGUCGGUGAGCGCCGAUCUGCUGGAGAAUCUCAUUAUCCCAUCGGCGCUCUGCCUGCUCCUGGCCUCCAAGCCUCUGAAGCCCCUCGGGUUUCAGCUGCCGGCUACCCUCGAGCCCGUGGUGCCCACGAGAGAGGCGACUUUACGUCAGCGGCCCUGGGCUGAGAUUUGAGAACGCGACCAAGUGGAGAAUGUUGGAGCCAGAUUUUAAAAUCCUUGUCUUCCUUCUGCGUGCUACUUGAUCUAAAUGAGAUACGGCAAAGUCACAGAACCUGUUUUUAUGUUUUUGCCUGAUUCAUACGGGCUUCUCCGGUGAAGAUGGGCCUGAAGUAACGCUUGGGUUGCUUCUGACGUUAUAACUCAUCCUGUAGCUGCAGCAACCGUGGUCCUUGCAACCUCAUAAAAAUGUUGCCAGCAUUGUUUCGAUAGUGCUGCUUAAUUCUUGGAAGGUUCUUCGGACUUCACACAUUCCAGCAGUAGCUCUCUCAGCUCCUGUCCUGCACAGCUUUGAAGUGCUGAGAUGGGGUCUCCCUAUAUUGCCCAGGCUGGGCUUGAACUCCUGGACUUGAACGAUCCUCCAGCUUUGGCCUCCCAAAAUGCUGAGAUUACAGGCGUGAGCCACCAUGCUUGGCAGCUGAACGUCUUCAAAGUGUCUUCUGUAAAGACUUCUUCAGACUGUCAAUAGGAAGACUGAUAAACUCAGUUCAGAUGCGAGAGGAAAUCGAGUCAUCAUCAAUGGCACCUCAUGUUAGCCUGCCAUGGCAACAAGCUCAUUGAUUGAGUAAAAGAACUUUCAGAUGCACUAGCUGGUCUUUAACGGGUUGCUGAAAGCACAGAUAAGACGACUGAGGGAGCCGACUGAAUUUCCAUGGAUAUAUACAAAGGGAAUGGAAAAUCACAGUACGAUUUUUCAUUGGCUCCUGAUAGAGCUAGGUCCUUGUAUAAUUCUAAAACUGGUGUAUAAAACAAUGUCCACGCCAUUCAUUUUGGUUAUAACUAUUAAGGGGAAGGGAGAUGAUGUCUGUGGAAUUGCAAAGUAGUUUGCACUAGAAUUUUCUAUUACAUAUGCUCUAAUAGGAGUAUUUUCCUCUGUUACAUUAUGACUUAUGUAAUAAUAAUAGCUAAGGAUUACUGAGGGUUUUUAUUUUCUUUUCUGCAUGAUCUUGACCGUUUUUCGAAACAGUCCUUGUUGCUGGAUACUAUUUAUGUCACCAUUUUACAAAUGAGAAUGCCAAAGUUCAGAGUGACAUCCAUCUAAAAGAGGCCAGUUUCAGCCUUGAACCCAUUAUACUCUAAUCCCAUUUUCAAAGUAACUCUUGGUUUUCUCAAAAGGCCUUUAAAUGUAUGGAUAAGCCAAUAUGAGGGCAGCAAUGUUGUGGUUAAGUGUGUGCACUUUGGUUGGACUCUGCCGAAGGCCAGCACCACCAUUUAGUAGCUAUGUGAACCAGUGAGUUACUUAAAACCUAUACCUCCACUUCCUCAUCUGCAAAAUGGGGUUGUGGUAAGGCUGGAAUAAGUUAAUGCAUGUAGCAUGUUGAGAAGGCACUGUCUAAGCGCAUGGCACAUGGUAAGCAUGUAGGAAACAGCAACACAUGCCUGGGUCUGAGUUCUGCUCUGUCAUGAUGAUUGGUGCCCAACGGGAAAAGCUCUUCCGCACCAGCGUUUUACAAGCCUAGCUCCUCCUUUUCCAAAACAAGUUCCCAGGCCAUGGUCAAUAUCAACAUUCAGGGGAAAUACAUUCUGUUCAUUGUAGAUAUGACAGUGAGAAUAUUUGCUGAAUAACAAUUAAGCUAUCUGAUUGCGUAAUAGUUAAAAGGUUUGUUUUUACCAUCUGUGAAUUAAAGCCAAAAAUAACAACCAAUUCAUAGAAUAUUGUGACGGUUAUAGGAGAUGCAGCUUGUCAGCUGCUCAGCUCAGCGGCCUGGGCAUGAUUAGAAUUCCACACAUAAUAGUGAUUACCAUCAGUAUUAUUAUUAUUAAGGCAACACAGUGAUCGUAGUAAUGGUAAAACAGAGAGAUCUACCUAAUCCAAAAUUCUAUUCAACAAGGGAGUUUCUACAUAUAGCCACUAUGGUUUCUAAUUUUCAAAGAAUCAGCAUAUAAUAAAAUGCUCUCAAUAAUAAAGCUGAACUGAAUAUAUUAUAAUAACUUAAUGAGGCAGAAGACAUUUGAGAUGCCUCAAUUAUCAAUGUGUUUCACAGAUUCAAAAGUGUAACUUUAUACAUUUAUUCAAUAGAUAAAACACUGACUAGGUCCGCUUAAAGUUGAAAUAGAUUUUUGGAUUCUCUCAAAGUAUAGGGCAAUAACAAAUAUAGAAGUUUUCUGAAAAAAAAUAAGCAAAAUAGAAAUAGUACUAUUAUUAGUUUUAAAAUAUUAUAAAAGAAUUUUAAAUGAGACAAAAAUAAUAUGAUGGCAAUAUAUGGCCUUUUACAAAGAGAGGAACUGAGGCAGGGAGGAGAAAUAAUUCUAGAAUGACAUGCUGGUUAGAGGUAUGAUGUGUCGGACCACAAGAAUGAUGUGAUUCUGACUUUUCCUUUAUUUACAAAUCACUUUGGAUAAACCGAUGGCUCUUGCUGAGCCCCUGGGUUGGUGGAGGAGUAACAUGCCUGGGAGUCGAGCAUCCUAAGACGUGCACCCUGAGGACUGCAGGAAAAGUGCAGAAAUUAGGUAGAAAUAGGGCUUGUUUAGCAUUCAUGAUGGCUAGGUGUCUUACUGCAGGUGUCUUAAGAAACUACCCAGUAACUCACUGAACCAGCAACUCUGUGCAUGGCCUCCUGAGAGGUGAGGGACACAAAGAUUUUAUCAAGAGUGAAGCAUGUGUCUGUGUUCAAGUAUCUUGCAAAAUGAAGACAAAAGAAGUAGUUUGCAAUUAGCUCUUAGUUCCUACCUUUCAAAGAAGCAUCCGCCAGUCAGGUGAGAUGAAACUGACCAUGAAGAGAAGCUUGUAUCUGUAUAAAAUGCAAACCUGUUUGGACAGCGGAAUGGGGUUUGCUUCAAACUUCAGGGUGCAUUUAUAUAAAGCAACA
Molecule: long non-coding RNA, 3133 nt
Organism: Homo sapiens (human)
Lineage: Eukaryota; Metazoa; Chordata; Mammalia; Primates; Hominidae
Gene: HULC
Product: hepatocellular carcinoma up-regulated long non-coding RNA
Source: Ensembl